GCCGAAGUGGCGGAACUGGCAGACGCGCUAGCUUCAGGAGCUAGUGGGGGAAACCCCGUGCAGGUUCAAUUCCUGUCUUCGGCA
Molecule: transfer RNA, 84 nt
Filed under: Pirellulales bacterium
Lineage: Bacteria; Pseudomonadati; Planctomycetota; Planctomycetia; Pirellulales
Description: tRNA-Leu
Rfam family: tRNA
About the family: Transfer RNA (tRNA) molecules are approximately 80 nucleotides in length. Their secondary structure includes four short double-helical elements and three loops (D, anti-codon, and T loops).
Source: RNAcentral